Triticum dicoccoides is the source of this 3446-nucleotide long non-coding RNA. RefSeq lists it as uncharacterized. The record is from RefSeq and is a predicted model, not a curated record. The transcript has 4 exons. Lineage: Eukaryota; Viridiplantae; Streptophyta; Magnoliopsida; Poales; Poaceae.
AGGCCGCCGGUGGCCGCGCGCGAUCCCCCGGUGCGGCGGCGCCCGCAUCCCUUGCCUCUCCAGCUGCACCGGUCUUCUCCCAGAGCACGAAGUGGGCGCGCGCGGGGUGGCCGCCGGCAAACGGGGCCGCGUGCGACCCCCCGGUGCGGCGGUACCAGCUCCCCUCGCCUCUCCGGUCGCACCUGCUCCUUCCUAAGCACGACGUGAGUGCACGCAUGGCGGCCUCCGGCGAACGAGGUCGCGCGCGAGCCCGCGUCGCGGCGGCGCGGAGCCCACUGCUCCCUGCCGGUUUGAGAUCCGCACGUGCUGGCGGUGCUCGCCUAUCCGCGCGCCAGGGCGCCCACGCAGUCCCUCCUCUUCGCCGGCGUCGAGCGCUACCGCAUCCUAGAGUGUCUUCUUUCGAGACUGCUGGGCAACAGAUCGCGUUCACGCAAAGACUGGCAGGGGGACAGCCUCGACCGCGACGAGGAUAACAUUAGGAUCCAACAUAAGGUUCCUGGUCCACCCUUUUCGCCGCACUGAAAUAGGAACGCUUGCUUUUACCUGGUGCCGAUGGUUGGGGUUCUGCAGAGUGCAGACUUGGCGGAGAUCGCAUUUUUCCUCGGUAUCACGCAUCACGAUUCAGAGGUAGGCGGGUGGACCUUCUUCGUCUAAUUAUUAACUUGGUGGGAGCUAGCUGCUAUGUCGACCACCCAGAGUGAAGGUUGGUAUAACACUGAUAAUCGGUAGCUAUUUUCACUUGAACAGUUUCCAGCACUGUAAGCAGAAAGGAUUAUUUGAUGCAGAAUGUACUUUAUUGUACAGAAAGUAUUAGAUGAUGUUUUAACCUCAGUAUAUUGGGGCAUUCGAAACAUAGAUUACCUGACAAAUUGCUCCCUGGUAGUGUUGAUGAGCAGUUUGAAAAGGGUGUACAACUUGUAGAUUCCAUUGCAGAGAAACAGGCAUAAAAAAUUUCAGAAGAGUGCAAGCUUUUUCCUGCUGCUGUCCAAAUACAAUCAAUUAACCAACUGUAAGUGCACCCAAUUCGAUGUUCUUGUCAAUUGUAUUAUUUAGAAGCGCAGCUUCUAAGCACACAUAUAAUUCUGAAAUGGUAUGAAUCUAUGUUGCUGUCUUCAACCCCCAGAUUACAAGCAAUUUCAAGAACCACCACCAUUUCAGUGUGAGCUUAGAAUAAAUAUAGUAUGUGUGUUUAAAAAUCUUCCCUUUAUGAUUGUUUAGAAAUCUAGAGUAUCAAGACUGUUCUAUUUCUACAGGCUUUUUUAGUAUCAUGUAUAAAGAAUGGCAUGCAUAUUUUGGAGUAAUUACAGUGCAUAGCUGGUUAGUUUAGUUCAGAAAGGGGAGAACCAUAAGGAGUUGUUACAAUUUAAAUCUUUGCUCAGUUUCUUCUUUAGCUCAUUUCAUUUGACUUUUGUACAACCAAAUCAGAAGCUUGGAUGAUGUCAGGUUGAAUCUCGAGGUUCUCAAGCAUUUUUUAUGGUAGUCCCUGUAAUCUAAGUAAAAAGUUUUAGAUGUUUGUGAUGGUCUUGAGCAUAGGUCUUUACAAGGGUCUGGUAGCAGUUCUUCUGAUUGGAGGCCCUUCAUAAAGAACUAGCAGCAUGGUUCUUUAAAAUUACCGGGAUAAGAUAGUUAUAAUAAUCUUUGGCAGUAUCAAAACUAUAAUUAAAACCACACUACAUUUAUUUGUUUCCGCUAUAUUUAAAUUCUUUUCUGAUUCCAGCUUGUUAGUGUUGUUGCAGACUAUUGGUUGUUACAUAUUUCAAAUCACUUCGGCUAAUCAUGUACAUAUAUUUCCAGCUUAUGUACUUUACUAUUCAAUAUAUUUUUGUUUUAAAUCACAUCUAAUAUCCUUAUAUAAUUGUAACCCACAGGUGCCUGUUGAUAGCGUCUCCCAUAUCAAGAGGCUUGAAACCAAUUAUUCAGUUAUCAUACAUAUAUUCAGUGUCAGAACGCUUUCUGAGUGAAUCAUUGCUAUUGACUGCUCCUUAUUACCAUGUAUAAGUAAUGAAAGGUUGUACUUAUACUCUGUCUUCAUCGCACAGGUCCAUGAGCCCAGCAUAAGGAGACAACUGAUACAACAAAACAAAGUGAACAACUUAAUCUCUUAUAUGUCUAACUAAGCAUAUAUAGAUAAUACAACAUUUAUUUGUUUUCUAUAAUUUUACUGAGCAUAUGUGUAUGAGUUUAUAGUCAGUGUGUUCCACACCCACUUUGUUUUCCUAGAAUCCCAUGCCAUUUUAUAUUUCUACAACUUGCAUGGAAGGAGUGCAGCAAAUCUAAGACCAUAACGACAUGCAUUCUAAGGAAAACAUAAUCAAACUCCUAUCACUUAAGAUACCAUUACUACUAGCGGAACAAUGGAACUGAGUGUACAUUAUCUUUCUUUCAUAGCAAUUAUCCAUGCUGAUGAAAUAUACGGCCUUCAUGUUUUGCAGAACAAUUCAGUCGAAUGUACAAAGUCGGUAACCUCAUUAUGAAAAUGGAUAACCUUGGAUGGUAAAGAAGACUUGCUUAGUCUAUUCCUUUUGCUCUGCUUACUAAUGAUGCCGGAAGAUGCAACAUACUAAUUGUUUUGUUGUAUGUGUGUGCAGCACUUUAGCUGCAGAUGCAGACCAACAUCUUUUGUUUCACUGUUAUUGCUGAAAACUGGACGUGGUGAAUGUUUUACAUGUUGACGAGCUGCCUUGCAUAUCAGUGAAGUUAUUGAGCCAGUGCUUGCAUACAUAUAUAUGGUUUAAUCGUAAGAACACUCUUCAUAGUUGUUUUUCAAGGCUGAGAAGGUGUUGCUGUUGGUGACAUGUGCGGAGCUUCUGUUGGUGUUUAUCUUGUAAUAACUCAAUUUGAUAGCGGAAACUGAUUGAAUUAUCAAUGUACAUUUAGGCAUAGAGCAUGAGGAUGUAUGGAACUUCUGAACACUUUCAGAUUGUCUAUAAAUUAGCAGUCUUGGCCCCUUUAGAAAAGAGAGUACAACUAAAUUAUUGAAAGUGCAGUUCUAGGACAAGUACUUGCUGAAAUUUUCAGGUCUUGGGACAAAGUACAUCUAUGAACAGUAUGCCUCAUUUGGCUCUUGUGGGGGCAGGGAUAAAAUAAACCUGCCAUCAGUAGGCGAGUUCAAACACUGGAUGGCAACGUGUGCUAGACAGAUUUUUUGAAUAUUUGUGCUACCCAUUUGGGUACGAGUGAUGCUCACGGAGGCCAUUCUAUGUUGCUGACUAACUGUCCUGUCUAUAUACUCCCUCCUUCCUGUCUAUAUACCCAUUUUGCGUACGAGUGAUGCUCACGGAGGGAGUAAUUCUUUAUGUAGGCGACAAUUCAAUCCUGAAAUCCUAGAGUUCCAUGGAAGAAAAAUGCGUGUGCAAGAACAGUAGAUUUGAUCUUCUUUUAAAACUUGUAAGAACACUAAAUGGUGAAACAACUUACGUUAUUAUCCGGCAACGCGACCACAAAUC